RNAcentral lists this ribosomal RNA (112 nucleotides) under Acinetobacter baumannii 44839_9. The record is from RNAcentral. Lineage: Bacteria; Pseudomonadati; Pseudomonadota; Gammaproteobacteria; Moraxellales; Moraxellaceae.
GGCGACCAUAGCAAGAGUGAACCACCUGAUCCCUUCCCGAACUCAGAAGUGAAACCUCUUAGCGCUGAUGGUAGUGUGGGAUUACCCGUGUGAGAGUAAGUCAUCGCCAGCU